UGAACGUAGACACACUUUAUUUUGCAUUCGAAAAAGCACGCCAUUGGCAGCUGCGCUAAACGCCCGCCAGGCUCCGGAUGCAAAAUUUGAAGCAUUUAAAUCGCAAAGAGUAUACGAUGAUGGCGUACAGAUGUCCUAUUCUGAAGAUGACAUUUACGAUCCUGCUAACCAUUUCAAGGAACUUUUCUUAAAGAUGCUAAAUCAAGUACGAGCGGGUGAUUAGUCAGUAUACAACCAUGGCUGGUUUCUUUUUUGUGGAGACUUUUACGUGAUUCACAUGUGUCACCCACAACGAACAGACUACAGUGCCUAAGUCGGUGCCAACCUCCAGCCAGAGCAAGAAGGGCAUCUCCGUAAAUACAUCACAUAAUACAUUAGACAACGUAGUUUUCACUUGUUGGGAUCGACUUUAUAGGAACUUUACAAGUAAAGUUCGUCGACAUAUCGCUGAAUGGCAAUGGAUUUUCUAGACCGCUACCUGAACAACUACUGCAGUCUGCAAGGAUUUUACUUAGCCAACGAGAACCUCUUGAGUUUGUUAUCCGUCUUCACUGUUCUCAUUUAUGCUUGGUAAUCCCUGCUCAUAUGAAUGAUAACGUCUGUACGUCAUCAUCACUAUCAUCGGCAGCUUCAUUGGACCAGGGUCGUUUGGGCUAAAACGAAACACUGAUAGUGGCAAAUGACAUUGUGACUUUCCUGUGACGGUGCCUCAUCGAAUCCUUUUCUUUCUGAGCGAAACCGGAUCGGAAAAGAAUGGCAGUCGACAAUAACCCAGCUACAGCCUUCUGCUCCCGGAUGGUUGAUAGCGGCAAAACGACCUAUGUGGUUCGGGGUGACAGGCACUUCUGGUCGAAAACCGUGUAUCUGCUUGCAAAUAGCACAUCUCACGCGAAAAGAUUGAUCCCCAGUGAUAACAUAACAGUACAAUGUAACAGUGUCUAUUGUGCUAACGACAGAUUUUCCACCAUGCAGAGCUGUCGAACAUUUUCAAUUGGAUUAUUUUAUUAUGAGAAAUGUUUUUUUUUGAUCGAUGCCAACCCUUUCCCAACUUUUACGUACUAAGUACAAAGGACAGUGUAUGCAGCGGCACGGCAAUAAAAGUAGCUAACCGACGUAUUAAGUCAAAGAUGACAAACGCUAUGAUUAGCGCCGUUGUAGCCUUAAUAUAUUAGGUCACAGCCUGGCUAAGUUAACUGUUAAUAAGUAAAUUACGUAGUGUAGUUAACUUAAUCGAAUAGUAUUCAAAGGUGUAUUAAGGAAUUAAUUUUCAAAGCUCCUUUGCAAUUAGCUGUGAUGGAUAUUUUCAAACUCUCACAUUGUACAAAUUAUUUCCUGUAAAAAAAAAAAAAGUAUUUUUCGACUAGUGAUAAAAGCAUAUUGUGGUGAAAAAUCGAUGGCCUUGUCUACACAGA
This is a long non-coding RNA of Varroa destructor (honeybee mite), 1412 nucleotides long. NCBI's taxonomy places the organism in Eukaryota, Metazoa, Arthropoda, Arachnida, Mesostigmata, Varroidae. The record is from RefSeq and is a predicted model, not a curated record.